AAAGUACUCCCUUCGUUCCAAAUUUCUUGUCUUAGAUUUGUCUAGAUACAGAUGUAUCGAGUCACAUUUUAGUAUUAGAUACAUCCAUAUCUAGACAAAUCUAAGACAAGAAUUUUGGGAUGAAGGGAGUAGUUG
Triticum aestivum (bread wheat) is the source of this 135-nucleotide non-coding RNA. The record is from Rfam. NCBI's taxonomy places the organism in Eukaryota, Viridiplantae, Streptophyta, Magnoliopsida, Poales, Poaceae.